Molecule: ribosomal RNA, 576 nt
Filed under: uncultured Chaetothyriales
Lineage: Eukaryota; Fungi; Ascomycota; Eurotiomycetes; Chaetothyriales
Description: eukaryotic LSU rRNA
Rfam family: 5.8S ribosomal RNA (bases 183-335)
Source: RNAcentral
GGCCCGACCUCCCAAUCCUGUGUCUAACUGUACCAUGUUGCUUCGGCGGGGCCCGUCCUUUCGUUUCAUGCGAGAGGACUGCCGGGGGGUCGCACGACCCUUUGGCCAGUGCCUGCCGAUGGCCUAACUACAAACUCUUGAAUAACCAUGUUGUCUGAGUUGUACCUACAAAAGUAAAGUAAAACUUUCAACAACGGAUCUCUUGGUUCUGGCAUCGAUGAAGAACGCAGCGAAAUGCGAUAAGUAAUGCGAAUUGCAGAAUCCGUGAGUCAUCGAAUCUUUGAACGCACAUUGCGCCCUCUGGUAUUCCGGGGGGCAUGCCUGUUCGAGCGUCAUUAUCCCUUCUCAAGCCCCGUGUUUGGUGUUGGACCUGUGUUGGUCGUACCCCGACCAACUGGUCUCGAAGACAAUGACGGCGUCCGUGGGACUCUCGAUACACCGAGCUUUUUUUCGAGGCACGUACCGAGUUGAAAGGUCCCUCCGGCCCGGUCUCCCCUCUAGAAUCUUUCUUUUAAGGUUGACCUCGGAUCAGGUAGGAAUACCCGCUGAACUUAAGCAUAUCAAUAAGCGGAGGAA